RNAcentral lists this ribosomal RNA (329 nucleotides) under uncultured eukaryote. RNAcentral's name for it is "partial 18S ribosomal RNA". It matches the Rfam family "Eukaryotic small subunit ribosomal RNA", at positions 1470 to 1796 of the family's 1831-position model. The record is from RNAcentral.
CCCUUAGAUGUUCUGGGCCGCACGCGCGCUACACUGACGAUGGCAACGAGUUCUUCCUUCGCCGAAAGGUGUGGGUAAUCUUUUGAAACAUCGUCGUGCUGGGGAUAGAUCAUUGCAAUUUUUGAUCUUGAACGAGGAAUUCCUAGUAAGCGCGAGUCAUCAGCUCGCGUUGAUUACGUCCCUGCCCUUUGUACACACCGCCCGUCGCUACUACCGAUUGAAUGGUUUAGUGAGGACUCCUGAUUGGCGCCGCCGCCCCGGCAACGGAGCAGCGGACUGCCGAAAAGUUGUUCAAACUUGAUCAUUUAGAGGAAGUAAAAGUCGUAACA